This 110-nucleotide small RNA is filed under the name Megasphaera elsdenii. RNAcentral describes it as "Hfq binding sRNA". The record is from RNAcentral. Lineage: Bacteria; Bacillati; Bacillota; Negativicutes; Veillonellales; Veillonellaceae.
ACCCCCCAGUUCAACUGGGGGUAAGUAAAAUUUCUUAAAGUAAAAAAAGAACCUCUCAUGAUACAAUGUAGAUGGUCUGGCAACCACUACAUUAUUCAGAAGAGAGGUUC